AUGAUGUACUGGCUCCCUGUAACGCUGCACUGUUUCUUGUUUCUAGGAAAAAAAAAAGAGAUGGAGGGGAGAAAAUACAUGAAGAUUAAUAUAGAUGUAACUUCUUGGGGAAGAAUAACUUUGCUGUUUAGCUUCAGCCUCUUUGCAUCAAGUUCAGCCUUUUCACAAGCCUUGCUCCCAUUCCAGUCACCGUGUUCAGCUCUGGUUUCAUGUCAUGAGCAGAUCUCCCAACAGACUGACAGAAGCAGACGUGAAUUUGUGAUGAGGAGCAAGCAGUACACCAGCUGUGGAGAUGAAUAAUGGAAUAGGCUACAUGAACUGCAGGACUACAUAUGUGCGUAAAGAUGAUUAGAAUGGGAGAAAAAAGGGAUCACUGAAAUAUUUCAUUCGAUCUGAAGCAGAAUGGUUUGUAUUUUCUUAU
RNAcentral lists this long non-coding RNA (421 nucleotides) under Coturnix japonica (Japanese quail). Its description in RNAcentral is "lncRNA (ENSCJPG00005012306.1)". Lineage: Eukaryota; Metazoa; Chordata; Aves; Galliformes; Phasianidae. The record is from RNAcentral.